GUGGAGGCAAUCUAAACGUUAACGAUACGUAUGGAAGUUCAAGUGAAUUAGAUUUGGAUUCAAACUUAGAGGCGGACAUUGAGGGAGGAUAUAACAGCACAAUUUAACACAGGUUUCUGGUGGCAAAGGUGGAAAUGAUGAUGACAAGACCUCUACUAAAUAAAAGCCGUAUUGUGUACUAAAUUAUAUUCUAAAAUUAUUUAAAUUAGGCAAAUUAUAUAACGACAAGAAUACAAUGGCUUGAAAUACAUACAUCAUAAGCUAAUAACAAUAAAAUUCCUUCGUCGACGAAUGAAUAUAUUUCUUAUUAUACACUUAUAUUUGUUUUAAGUAUAAACAUAAAAAUUGAUUAUAAUGAUAUAAAUUGUUAAAAAUGGUAAUAUAUGUAUACAUAUAAGUAUAUAUGGCUAUGUGUAAAAUAUAUGCAGCAAAAUAUA
RNAcentral lists this small RNA (437 nucleotides) under Atta cephalotes. RNAcentral's name for it is "sRNA LOC105622186". The record is from RNAcentral. Lineage: Eukaryota; Metazoa; Arthropoda; Insecta; Hymenoptera; Formicidae.